This 315-nucleotide long non-coding RNA is filed under the name Setaria viridis. RNAcentral's name for it is "long non-coding RNA (SVIR_LNC005009)". The record is from RNAcentral. Lineage: Eukaryota; Viridiplantae; Streptophyta; Magnoliopsida; Poales; Poaceae.
AGGAGGAUAAGGAAGAAAGAGCAAACCAGCGUAUUACUUGUGCUAAAUGACCAAUUUUGGUUGCCUUGUGUCCGUUUAGUAUGCGGAUCAUAUAUUGCGUUUAGCUGUGAAUUUGAAGUUCUUUUAGCCCAAUCACAAGAACUCUAUUUGCUUAUACCAUAGUCAAAAACUGACGCUCUUUGUAAAUUUAACGUCUACGUAUUUCACUGAUUACAUUGGGAACCCUGUAACUCGCAGGAAACGUCGGUCGAUCGAAUUCUCCCCACCCCGGAAGGAAUCCUACGAGUUUCCCGUGUUCCGAUACUUGAUUCUCCC